AUGACAAUGGAGCCCUCGCCCCGCCGCGCUAGGGUUGGCGAGCCGGCGGCGGACCCGCUGACGUCCCUCCCGCCGCCCCUGCUCGACGGCAUCCUCACCCGCCUCGACCUCCCUUACGCGGUCCGUACCUCCGCCCUCUCUCGCGCCUGGCGCCGCCGGUGGGAGGCCCUCCCCUACCUCUGCCUCUCCUUCGUCGACAACCCCGGCACGGCCCCCUUGGCUGUCGACCGCGUUCUCGCUCGCUACCCCGGCCGCAUCUCCAACUUCUCCUUCCACGUCGACGAGCACUCCUUCGGCCGCGUCGAUGACUGGCUCGUCGCCCUCUGCGACCGCGGCGUCAGGUCCAUCAACCUCCGAUGCGCCUCCCCCUUCAUCCUCCACUCCUCCCUCUUCCUAUGCGCCCAACUCACGCACCUCAAGCUGCACCAAUGCGGCCUGCCGUCUCUCCCAGUGGGAUUCACUGGAUUCCCCAUGCUCAAGGUUCUAAAACUCGGCCUUGUCGAUUUCCCGGAGAACGGGGAGAGCCAACUGGAGGCGAUUCUUGUCGGGUCACCCUUGCUUGAAACCCUGAAUCUUCACUUUGUGGAUGUCCGUGGGAAUGACGCGUACUCAAACGCGUGGGUGAUUCGCGGGGCCAACCUCCGGAGCCUAACGAUAAGUUCUGACUUUGAUUAUGACUGGCAAGUUAAGGAGCUGCCAUGCAUCGAUGAAGUCGCCAUCGAUGUUGGAAACUAUGUGAGUAAUAUCAAGUUCAGAGGAUUUCUUGCCAGCUUUGCGCAAGUUAGGAAGCUCUCUCUCUGUGCGUGCUACACAUCGUUUACUGGAGGUGGUCUCCUGGAAACACUUCCAUGUACCUUUGACAACUUAAAGAGUUUGACCCUCUGGACACAUUUCUACGAAAUGCCUGCCAUAGUGUUAACCUUUUGCUUACUAAGGAAUGCUCCUAAUCUAGAAGAACUUGAAAUUACGGUUGUGAAAAUGAAAAAUAUUGGCUGGUUGCAAAAUGAAAUGUAUUUCAUAGAGCUCGUUUUAUCUAAAGCAGCAGUUCUUCGCACAAUGCAUCUUAGUCUUGGUUGCAGAAGAUCAAAGUCAAAUGAGGAUGCACUCUGUGAACUAAUGACAUAUAGAAGGGCUUCAACCCAUGCUCGAGUCUUCUUUGACGGUAAAAUGAAAUGA
RNAcentral lists this ribosomal RNA (1176 nucleotides) under Triticum aestivum (bread wheat). Its description in RNAcentral is "partial small subunit ribosomal RNA". The record is from RNAcentral. Lineage: Eukaryota; Viridiplantae; Streptophyta; Magnoliopsida; Poales; Poaceae.